GGGCUCAUAGUUCAAUGGUAGGAUACCUCACUUGCACUGAGGAGAUUCGGGUUCGAUUCCCGAUGAGUCCA
Molecule: transfer RNA, 71 nt
Filed under: Candidatus Pacearchaeota archaeon
Lineage: Archaea; Nanobdellati
Description: tRNA-Ala
Rfam family: tRNA
About the family: Transfer RNA (tRNA) molecules are approximately 80 nucleotides in length. Their secondary structure includes four short double-helical elements and three loops (D, anti-codon, and T loops).
Source: RNAcentral